CGUGCCAGCAGCCGCGGUAAUACGUAGGGUGCGAGCGUUAAUCGGAAUUACUGGGCGUAAAGCGUGCGCAGGCGGUUUUUUAAGACAGGCGUGAAAUCCCCGGGCUUAACCUGGGAACUGCGCUUGUGACUGGAAGGCUAGAGUACGGCAGAGGGGGGUGGAAUUCCACGUGUAGCAGUGAAAUGCGUAGAGAUGUGGAGGAACACCAAUGGCGAAGGCAGCCCCCUGGGCCGAUACUGACGCUCAUGCACGAAAGCGUGGGGAGCAAACAGGAUUAGAUACCCUGGUAGUCCACGCCCUAAACGAUGUCAACUAGGUGUUGGGUGGGUAAAACCAUUUAGUACCGGAGCUAACGCGUGAAGUUGACCGCCUGGGGAGUACGGCCGCAAGGUUAAAACUCAAAGGAAUUGACG
Molecule: ribosomal RNA, 413 nt
Filed under: uncultured bacterium
Lineage: Bacteria
Description: bacterial SSU rRNA
Rfam family: Bacterial small subunit ribosomal RNA
Source: RNAcentral